CACGUAGGCGGCCUGGUAAGUCAGAUGUGAAAGCCCGGGGCUUAACCCCGGAAGUGCAUUUGAUACUGUCAGGCUUGAGUAUGGGAGAGGGAAGUGGAAUUCCUGGUGUAGAGGUGAAAUUCGUAGAUAUCAAGAGGAACACCGGUGGCGAAGGCGACUUCCUGGACCAAUACUGACGCUGAGGUGCGAAGGCGUGGGUAGCAAACA
Molecule: ribosomal RNA, 207 nt
Filed under: uncultured bacterium
Lineage: Bacteria
Description: partial 16S ribosomal RNA
Rfam family: Bacterial small subunit ribosomal RNA
Source: RNAcentral